CUGGUCUUCGCGCUUGCGCAUGCGCGGUUUCUCGAUUCUAUUGAGUCUUCUGCUCAAGAGCAGCGGCUAGCCUGUGUAUACUUGCGGUUCGAGAGAACUUCUUUUCUUUCUCUUUUUUGUUUCCUCUUUUUUUUCUUUUGGAGGGAAUUUUAAUUGUGCCACUGAAUAUAUAGGUCGAUUCAAACAGAGCUACGGAAACCAGAAGAGACGAAGAUACUUUCGAGAAAGUUGGAUUUGAUCAAGGACAAAAUAUGCUUUUUCCGUUGUCUUCUUCUUAUAUCGUUGCAUAAAAUUUGUGUUUUCUCUAGAAAAUCUCUAGAAUCGUUUAAUUUUUGACAAAUAAUUUCUUAAUAAUCGUACUUUUACCGAUUUUCUCGGAUGUUGACGGAUUUUUUGUGAGGUUAGAAUCGUAAUGUCGAUGAAAAGAAAAUUGUAUAUUUUUAUUCAUGUUUGCCGAAGUUCGAUCGUUGCUUGAAUCCGCGACGCAGAAAACGCAUGCUUACGCAACGAUCGCUCACUUAUUUAAUAAAACAAAGUUACGACUAGUAUCGAGCAGUAAUAGCACGCUCCGGGGAAUGCUACUGUUGUUCACCCGUCCAAUGGCGAGAGAAGUUGACACAGCCGCUCGUUUAUCCACCAGGCGUGAACGAGUCUACCACGUGUAUGCAAAAGUUCUCUAUGCAGGAGUCCUUGCAUAGUACGCAUCGAGAACCAGAACACCUCAAAGGCUAAUAAUCUAUGCGUAGUGGACAGUUACGAGCCGGUGUUAUUCGAGCCGUACCUUUCGGUUUUAACCUAUGUUAAUCCAACAUUUGGCCCUCGACUAACGGUCACACGUUGACUUAGGUCUGGUGUCUAACGAGGCCAACCUUAUGUCCAUAAGUUGUUAUUUUAUAAGAUAUAUUUCUGUUCACGAAUUAUGGAUUAGAUAAUAAAUUUUAUAAGAAGUUGUAAGUUUAUGUUACAGCUAUGAAAGGCAAUGUUUACUGGCUGUUAAUAUUAUAAGGAAAAUUGAUUAUGAUUAUACUAUUGUUGUUACUAAAAUAGAUAUGAAUAUACUCAUUGAAAAAUCUGAAAGCAGAAGACUCAAGUGGUUAGUAGAAACUCUAGUCCAAGGAGAAUGAUGAUAUGCGAUCACGCAACCGCGAAUACUCUCGUUCGCCCACAAGGUACUAACUGCGCGGCGAGUUAAAGCGGAAGUAGCGUUGAAAGGACGCGUUCGAUUCGCGUACGCCCACCACGACUAUCCGUACCAUAGGAGAGGACAAAAUUUAGAACCAUUCAAAAACGCUUUAAGGCUUUCACGACUCGAGUUGAUACGAUCAUUUUAACCUCAAACUUCCUAUAUUGCGCCAUUAUUAAAAUUAGAGGUCAAAACACAUUUGUGCAACUAAAAUCCUACAUUGAUCUUUCAAAAAUGUUAUAUGUUAUCAACAUUUAUAAUUCAAUCAAUAAAAAUAUGUCAAUUUCGAUAAAUAUUCUUUUUCGAUCGAGAUUCGAAGUUGUAGUCCGAAUCACACUCGAAAAUGAAACGAGAAACACGGAUCUCGCGAGAUAAACGUCUAUCGAUUUAAAAUCGAGGACAUGAUUCCGAGCGCAUAAAUUUGACGGAGACACGCCGCGGUUCGAUUCACGAAGCAGGUGUAGCUCGGUCUAGGAUUCAAUCUCUGCCAAUGCCCUCCCUCUACCAUCCCACUUUCUACUUUCACGUCUGUUCGAUAUACACAAUAUCUGCAUAAUACACGGUUUGGCGAAUGCGCAUCGAGGAGGAUUCGACGUGAUCCUUGGUCGUGAAGGAGAGGAGAGGACGAUAAAAAGAAGGUGUUCCAGGAAACGCGACCGAUGCUCUGCUGCAUUCACAAACAUUUCUCUAUCCUUGCUCUGAGGCCGCCGAUCACGAGAGAGCCGUCUGAUCCUUUCUCGUUCCUUCCAGCCGAUGGCCCCUCUACGGGGUGACCCGAUCUCUCGAGCGCCGCGACGAACAGGUUAAAGUAGCUCCCGAGGCGUGUGUACGUAAGUAAGCAAGUACUUAUGUACGUACGAGCAGCCUACCACUCGGCCUACCAGCCGUAUUAUUACGUGUCGCUUUGCGGACCUUACGGCUCCCGUGUGCGCGCAUGUAACAGGUUCCAGCCGCGUGCAAUGGUCGUCGGCAAACUGCUCGCGGAAAGAAUCGGAAAGAAAUGACUUACGCACGAGUUAAUUCGAAUCGAAUAACGUCCAAUUUUGAGAAAAUUGACAUUGAAGAAAAUUUUGA
Long non-coding RNA from Apis mellifera (honey bee), 2257 nucleotides. RefSeq lists it as uncharacterized. NCBI's taxonomy places the organism in Eukaryota, Metazoa, Arthropoda, Insecta, Hymenoptera, Apidae. The transcript has 3 exons. The record is from RefSeq and is a predicted model, not a curated record.